GAUGAACGCUGGCGGCGUGCUUAACACAUGCAAGUCGAACGGAAAGGCCCAAGCUUGCUUGGGUACUCGAGCGGCGAACGGGUGAGUAACACGUGGGUGAUCUGCCCUGCACUUCGGGAUAAGCCUGGGAAACUGGGUCUAAUACCGGAUAGGACGAUGGUUUGGAUGCCAUUGUGGAAAGUUUUUUCGGUGUGGGAUGAGCUCGCGGCCUAUCAGCUUGUUGGUGGGGUAAUGGCCUACCAAGGCGUCGACGGGUAGCCGGCCUGAGAGGGUGUACGGCCACAUUGGGACUGAGAUACGGCCCAGACUCCUACGGGAGGCAGCAGUGGGGAAUAUUGCACAAUGGGCGCAAGCCUGAUGCAGCGACGCCGCGUGGGGGAUGACGGCCUUCGGGUUGUAAACUCCUUUCGCUAGGGACGAAGCGUUUUUGUGACGGUACCUGGAGAAGAAGCACCGGCUAACUACGUG
This 468-nucleotide ribosomal RNA is filed under the name uncultured bacterium. Its description in RNAcentral is "partial 16S ribosomal RNA". It matches the Rfam family "Bacterial small subunit ribosomal RNA", at positions 28 to 507 of the family's 1533-position model. The record is from RNAcentral.